This 468-nucleotide ribosomal RNA is filed under the name uncultured bacterium. RNAcentral's name for it is "partial 16S ribosomal RNA". It matches the Rfam family "Bacterial small subunit ribosomal RNA", at positions 28 to 507 of the family's 1533-position model. The record is from RNAcentral.
GACGAACGCUGGCGGCGUGCUUAACACAUGCAAGUCGAACGGAAAGGCCCUGCUUUUGUGGGGUGCUCGAGUGGCGAACGGGUGAGUAACACGUGAGUAACCUGCCCUUGACUGUGGGAUAACUUCAGGAAACUGGGGCUAAUACCGGAUAGGAGCUCCUGCUGCAUGGUGGGGGUUGGAAAGUUUCGGCGGUUGGGGAUGGACUCGCGGCUUAUCAGCUUGUUGGUGGGGUAGUGGCUUACCAAGGCUUUGACGGGUAGCCGGCCUGAGAGGGUGACCGGCCACAUUGGGACUGAGAUACGGCCCAGACUCCUACGGGAGGCAGCAGUGGGGAAUAUUGCACUAUGGGCGGAAGCCUGAUGCAGCAACGCCGCGUGCGGGAUGACGGCCUUCGGUUUGUAAACCGCUUUCGCCUGUGACGAAGCGUGAGUGACGGUAAUGGGUAAAGAAGCACCGGCUAACUACGUG